This 426-nucleotide ribosomal RNA is filed under the name uncultured bacterium. RNAcentral describes it as "bacterial SSU rRNA". It matches the Rfam family "Bacterial small subunit ribosomal RNA", at positions 340 to 762 of the family's 1533-position model. The record is from RNAcentral.
UACGGAAGGCAGCAGUGGGGAAUAUUGCACAAUGGGCGCAAGCCUGAUGCAGCCAUGCCGCGUGUAUGAAGAAGGCCUUCGGGUUGUAAAGUACUUUCAGUCGUGAGGAAGGUGUUAAGGUUAAUAACCUUAGCAAUUGACGUUAGCGACAGAAGAAGCACCGGCUAACUCCGUGCCAGCAGCCGCGGUAAUACGGAGGGUGCGAGCGUUAAUCGGAAUUACUGGGCGUAAAGGGCACGCAGGCGGUUAAUUAAGUUGGAUGUGAAAUCCCCGGGCUUAACCUGGGAAUGGCAUUCAAGACUGGUUAGCUAGAGUCUUGUAGAGGGGGUAGAAUUCCAUGUGUAGCGGUGAAAUGCGUAGAGAUGUGGAGGAAUACCGGUGGCGAAGGCGGCCCCUGGACAAGCUGACGCUCAUGUGCGAAAGCGU